AUAUAAGGUAGCAAGUACCAAAUACAUGUUUCAAAUAAAUAUUACACCAUACUGCUGCUGUUGUUCUUUCAAUAAGCAAAUUUAAAGGGUAUACAAUAAAUGAAACACCAAACGAACAUAUAAUAAUAAACCUUUGUUUUUAUCAAAAGUAAAUCAUGACACCACAUAAAAUAUAAAAAGGUGUAACAAUAAAUAAUAAAAUACAGUAACAAACUGACUCCAAUAAUGUUUUUCCACAUCAUGCUAAAGUUUUACAGAUUAUGAGACGUUCACACUUUCCAUAAAGGACUGAUUAUGGUUCUUUUGCAUUGCAAACAUGAUACUUGACUCUGAACUGCUGCUAAUCAUUAUUCUUUUGUCUAUAAUAUUCUGACCAUUGGUGCCCAUCUCACACCUAGAUUGCCUACACAUCGUUGUUGUGUUUAGGGGAUAGGCUUGAGCAUUGCGACACAUGUUUACAUUAAUCUACACCCGCCUCCAGCAGCGCGGGGGUGUCGGAAUGUUCGAAAACAGUAUACCGUCGCUCAGCCUUUUCAAACUUCUUUUUGCCCCCAAACGAAGAACGAAAACGAACUUCACAGACGUAUAUUAGAUGUCUUUAAGAUGUUUAUGAUUUAGAAUGUAUGUAAAACGGACAUCUGAAAGACAUCUGUCAGACGUUUGUACACAGUAGAUGCUUUCCAGAUCAAGCAAUCUUUAACAGACAUCUUGCAGACGUACGUGUGCUAUCUGGGAUGGAAGGCAGCACAAGGAAACAGAAUACAAACAAAGUAUGUCAUAGAAUGACAUUUUAUAUAUGUAAAAAAGUAAUUAAUUGUUCACAGCAGUCGUGAUUCCCUUCAGUGGCUUUAUUGGAAAGUCAAUCAGAGUUCAUCUUUUUAUAUUUCUGUUCUGGAUCAGACGCUGUAUUUUUCUGUUGCCACACAGGAAAGAAAAUGUGCACUAAGCCGAGCAUUUCAUCACAAGCAGCUAAAAGCUGUCCUGUUGUGUCUUCAUGUCAGUGAAGUGUGAAGUCACACUAUGCAUUGACUGCAGGUGGUCUUGUGGUAGUUUUCACACUAACGCGGCUACACCUGAGCGUACAAACACUCCUCCUGUGUUUUAUACGGCUGCUGUUGAACAAUUUUGUUGGUGAACAUCACUUCUCCAUAAUGAAGCUCUUGCUCUUGCUCCUUCUUCUCCUGAGGGCCCGUCGAGGCAUUUUCCAC
This is a long non-coding RNA of Cyprinus carpio carpio, 1208 nucleotides long. The record is from Ensembl. NCBI's taxonomy places the organism in Eukaryota, Metazoa, Chordata, Actinopteri, Cypriniformes, Cyprinidae.